CUGACAAGUACUUGUGGGACACCCCAGCCUAGGCACGGCUCAAGGUCUGAGUUGACCUUCCACUUACCAAAAGGACAGGUGGUUCCCACAUGCUCUACCUUACAAGGUGGCUUAAUUCUUUGGACCACUGAUGAAGACAAUUGUCGAAACGCGUCUGGUCUUUUUUUGAAUCUUUUGUACACUUUUAUCUGCUUUGGGCAUACUGUAUAUCCCUUUCCAUCCAAGCCUCUGUCUGUGCACUCUGUAAUUAUAAUAAUAUUGUGUGUACUCAUUUCUAUACAAGGUGUGAGACGCAGAGGAAUUGUUAUAGUUUUGUAUUAUUUUGGGAAUUGCAGUUUUCAAGCCCAGUUCUGCCUAUUAUCUUACUAAGUGUGGCUUACAAGCCAGAAUAAGCCUCACAGCGGGUUUUAGCUCUUAUUUUUGUAUUUAACAUAUUGUUCUAAUAAAAUUAUAGUUUUUUUAGCUUCAU
Long non-coding RNA from Sceloporus undulatus (fence lizard), 469 nucleotides. RefSeq lists it as uncharacterized. The record is from RefSeq and is a predicted model, not a curated record. NCBI's taxonomy places the organism in Eukaryota, Metazoa, Chordata, Lepidosauria, Squamata, Phrynosomatidae. The transcript is spliced from 3 exons.